RNAcentral lists this ribosomal RNA (1515 nucleotides) under metagenome. RNAcentral's name for it is "bacterial LSU rRNA". It matches the Rfam family "Bacterial large subunit ribosomal RNA", at positions 709 to 2129 of the family's 2925-position model. The record is from RNAcentral.
AGAGACCCGAAGCCGAGUGAGCUAUCCAUGGGCAGUGUGAAGCGGAGGUAAGACUCUGUGGAGGCGCGAACCGUCUUCAGUUGAAAAUGGAGCGGAUGACCUGUGGAUAGGGGUGAAAGGCCAAUCAAACACGGUGGUAGCUGGUUCUCCGCGAAAUGCAUUUAGGUGCAGCGUCGUGCGUUCAACGAUGGGGGUAGAGCACUGAAUGGGCUAGGGGUCCUACAAGACUACCGACCCCAAUCAAACUCCGAAUACCAUCGUUCCAGAGCACGGCAGUGAGACCUCGGGGGAUGAGCUUCGAGGUCGAGAGGGAAACAGCCCAGACCGCCGGCUAAGGUCCCAAAAUCUGAACUAAGUGGUAAACGAUGUGAGAUUGCGAAGACAGCCAGGAGGUUGGCUUGGAAGCAGCCAUCCUUGAAAGAGUGCGUAACAGCUCACUGGUCGAGUGAUCUUGCGCGGACAAUGUAACGGGGCUCAAGUUCAGUACCGAAGCCGCGGAUGCGACUCUUUGAGUCGUGUGGUAGCGGAGCGUCGAGCGUGCAGCGAAGCGGCGGGACAACCCAGCCGUGGAGCGCGUUCGAGUGCGAAUGUUGGCAUGAGUAGCGAAUGAGGGGUGAGAACCCCCUCCGCCGUAUGUCCAAGGGUUCCUGGGCGAGGCCAAUCCUCCCAGGGUGAGUCGGGAGCUAAGGCGAGGCCGAGAGGCGUAGUCGAUGCACAACUGGUUGAUAUUCCAGUACCACCAUGUUCGCGUCCGUCCCAAUACUCUGUUGCUAAGGGGCUGUGUUGACUUCGGUCAACGCGAACCGACCCACAUUGUUGCGGGAAGCUGUAGGGGGACGCAGGAAGGUAGAUGAACCCGGUGAAUGGUAGAACCGGGGUAAGCGUGUAGGAGGAGGACCAGGUAAAUCCGGGCCUCAUAAACUCUGAGACGUGAUACCGAGCCGCUUCAGGCGAAGUCAUUGAUCCUAUGCUGCCUAGAAAAGCCCAGCAGCGAGUUGACAUGGUGCCCGUACCCCAAACCAACACAGGUGGACAGGUAGAGCAUACCAAGGCGAGUGGGAUAACUAUGGUUAAGGAACUCGGCAAAUUGCCUCCGUAACUUCGGGAGAAGGAGGACCCCAGUAGCGUGAUGAGACUUGCUCUCUGAGCGUGAAGGGGUGGCACAAAAUUGAGGGAAGCGACUGUUUACCAAAAACACAGCAGCGUGCUAAGCCGUAAGGCGCUGUAUACGCUGUGACUCCUGCCCGGUGCUGGAAGGUUACGGGGAUGGGUUAGUCCUUCGGGACGAAGCUCUGAACCUAAGCCCCAGUAAACGGCGGCCGUAACUAUAACGGUCCUAAGGUAGCGAAAUUCCUUGUCGGGUAAGUUCCGACCUGCACGAAUGGAGUAACGACUUCCCUACUGUCUCAACCAUAGACCCAGCGAAAUUGAAGUACGAGUAAAGAUGCUCGUUAGCUGCAGAAGGACGGAAAGACCCCGUGGACCUUUACUAUAACUUGAUGUUGUGUUUUGUCU